GUACGUGUGAAGAACAUGCAAGAUUGUUGCAUAGAUGAAGACAAAGGUUUGGAGAUUUAGGAAGCUUGCUCAAUAUCAUAAUGUUGAGGAACCAGCCUCCUUGGUUGCUUCUGAUUGUAAACUAGCUGUGAGAAGGGCACCACUCUGCUACAAAAGCAAUCUUAGAAAUUAACCAGCACAAAGAUCAUCCAUGACUAAUUCAUUUGGAAGGAGUGCAUUUUUAUCAGAGAGACUGAAAAGCCUUUGAGAAUCAGUUAAAAAAAAGGAAUGCUCAUGAGAGUCACAGAUGUCCUCCUUGCCUAAUUCCUCCAACCUGAAGAUCUCUUAGAUCCUAAGAUUCCUGAAAUCUAAAUAUAUUCCCUCGCUUUGUACUACAUUAGUUGGCUGACUUGAGAGACACCAUAGUAAACUGAUUAAGAGCAAGGCCUCUGGUGCCAGACUGCCUGGGUUCAAAUUCCAGCACCAUAUCUUAAUAGCUGCAUGACCUACAGCAAAAACAGGCACUUGGAUGAAGUCCUGAGAUGGAUGCAUAUAAACCCAAGUUUCAGGGUAAAAGUUUGCUGAAGUGACCCCAUCUGGGCAGAU
This is a long non-coding RNA of Sapajus apella (tufted capuchin), 585 nucleotides long. RefSeq lists it as uncharacterized. Lineage: Eukaryota; Metazoa; Chordata; Mammalia; Primates; Cebidae. The transcript is spliced from 5 exons. The record is from RefSeq and is a predicted model, not a curated record.